Molecule: transfer RNA, 75 nt
Filed under: Priestia megaterium
Lineage: Bacteria; Bacillati; Bacillota; Bacilli; Caryophanales; Bacillaceae
Description: Bacillus megaterium tRNA-Asn
Rfam family: tRNA
About the family: Transfer RNA (tRNA) molecules are approximately 80 nucleotides in length. Their secondary structure includes four short double-helical elements and three loops (D, anti-codon, and T loops). Further hydrogen bonds mediate the characteristic L-shaped molecular structure. tRNAs have two regions of fundamental functional importance: the anti-codon, which is responsible for specific mRNA codon recognition, and the 3' end, to which the tRNAs corresponding amino acid is attached (by aminoacyl-tRNA synthetases). tRNAs cope with the degeneracy of the genetic code in two manners: having more than one tRNA (with a specific anti-codon) for a particular amino acid; and 'wobble' base-pairing, i.e. permitting non-standard base-pairing at the 3rd anti-codon position.
Source: RNAcentral
UCCACAGUAGCUCAGUGGUAGAGCUAUCGGCUGUUAACCGAUCGGUCGUAGGUUCGAGUCCUACCUGUGGAGCCG